AAAAACAUGUCCUUUAGAGUUUAAUUAAAGGUCUAACCUGCCCGGUGAUAAACUUAAACGGCCGCAGUAUUCUGACUGUGCGAAGGUAGCAUAAUCAUUUGUCUUUUAAUUAAAGGCUAGUAUGAAUGGUUGGACGAGGAAUUAACUUUCUUUAUUUAAAUUUUGUGAAUUUGAUUUUUGAGUCAAAAAGCUUAAAUUUUUUUGCAAGACGAGAAGACCCUAUAGAAUUUUAUUUUUAAUUUAAUGUUAGUUAUUUUGUUAUUUGAUUAAUUAAUAUUAAAUUAAAAAUUUUGUUGGGGCGACAAUGAAAAUUACUUAACUUUCAUUUAUUCUUUUUCAUUAAUUAAUGUUUAUUUUUGAUCCUUAAUUUUGGAUUAAAAGAUUAAAUUACCUUAGGGAUAACAGCGUAAUUUUUUCGGAGAGUUCUUAUCGAUGAAUAAAGUUUGCGACCUCGAUGUUGGAUUAAAGUAAGUCUUAAAUGCAGUAGUUUAUAGGACUAA
This 500-nucleotide ribosomal RNA is filed under the name Catorhintha guttula. RNAcentral describes it as "partial 16S ribosomal RNA". It matches the Rfam family "Bacterial large subunit ribosomal RNA", at positions 1809 to 2574 of the family's 2925-position model. Lineage: Eukaryota; Metazoa; Arthropoda; Insecta; Hemiptera; Coreidae. The record is from RNAcentral.